GUACAUAUUUACUAUGAAUAUGACAACUCUGAAAUAUAUUUAGAAGUUCUCAUUUUAAAAGUUUAUAACAUCAUGUUCUGUCACAUUGAAUGUUCGGUUUUUGACUAGAUGAAGUGUUUCCUCCUCAGGCACUUCUCAGAGCAACAACUGAAAUGAAGGCCUUGAUUCACAAAACAGAACUUCUUCCCAUCUUGAUCCAACAGCAUGUGGUGUCACUACUUUGACUGGAAGAGAGCUGUGACCCUGCAGUCACCCAAUAAGACUGUCCUGGAGGAAAAACUCUGUAGCAGGGGAGCAAAGCUCUCUCUUCCCCAUCCCACCAGAGGUGAGUGAGCGAACAGCUGUGUGGUGCUGAGCUGCCUGCUGGGUUAAAUCCCCUCUAAAAGCUGAAAUGAUUGGAGAAGAAAAAGGAAAAAUCCUAAACCUUGAAUAUUGAAAUAAAUUCCUCAUGCAAAGAAAGUUUGCCA
Molecule: long non-coding RNA, 467 nt
Filed under: Coturnix japonica (Japanese quail)
Lineage: Eukaryota; Metazoa; Chordata; Aves; Galliformes; Phasianidae
Description: lncRNA (ENSCJPG00005011071.1)
Source: RNAcentral